AGUGAACGCUGGCGGUAGGCCUAACACAUGCGAGUCGAACGGUAGCACAGUAAGAGCUUGCUCUUACGGGUGGCGAGUGGCGGACGGGUGAGGAAUACAUCGGAAUCUACUUUUUCGUGGGGGAUAACGUAGGGAAACUUACGCUAAUACCGCAUACGACCUACGGGUGAAAGCAGGGGAUCUUCGGACCUUGCGCGAUUGAAUGAGCCGAUGUCGGAUUAGCUAGUUGGCGGGGUAAAGGCCCACCAAGGCGACGAUCCGUAGCUGGUCUGAGAGGAUGAUCAGCCACACUGGAACUGAGACACGGUCCAGACUCCUACGGGAGGCAGCAGUGGGGAAUAUUGGACAAUGGGCGCAAGCCUGAUCCAGCCAUACCGCGUGGGUGAAGAAGGCCUUCGGGUUGUAAAGCCCUUUUGUUGGGAAAGAAAAGCAGCAGGUUAAUACCCCGCUGUUCUGACGGUACCCAAAGAAUAAGCACCGGCUAACUUCGUG
RNAcentral lists this ribosomal RNA (492 nucleotides) under uncultured bacterium. RNAcentral describes it as "partial 16S ribosomal RNA". It matches the Rfam family "Bacterial small subunit ribosomal RNA", at positions 29 to 507 of the family's 1533-position model. The record is from RNAcentral.